CGAAGCAUGUGCUCGUCCGUCAUCUUUAUCUCUCCACCUGUGCACAUUUUGUAGUCUUGGAUAACUCUCGAGGCAACUCGGAUUUUAGAAUCGCCGUGCUGUACAAGUCGGCUUUCCUUUCAUUUCCAAGACUAUGUUUUUAUAUACACCAAAGUAUGUUCAAAGAAUGUCAUCAAUGGGAACUUGUUUCCUAUAAAAUUAUACAACUUUCAGCAACGGAUCUCUUGGCUCUCGCAUCGAUGAAGAACGCAGCGAAAUGCGAUAAGUAAUGUGAAUUGCAGAAUUCAGUGAAUCAUCGAAUCUUUGAACGCACCUUGCGCUCCUUGGUAUUCCGAGGAGCAUGCCUGUUUGAGUGUCAUUAAAUUCUCAACCUUCCAACUUUUAUUAGCUUGGUUAGGCUUGGAUGUGGGGGUUGCGGGCUUCAUUAACGAGGUCGGCUCUCCUUAAAUGCAUUAGCGGAACUUUUGUGGACCGUCUAUUGGUGUGAUAAUUAUCUACGCCGUGGAUGUGAAGCAGCUUUAUGAAGUUCAGCUUCUAACCGUC
Molecule: ribosomal RNA, 543 nt
Filed under: uncultured Laccaria
Lineage: Eukaryota; Fungi; Basidiomycota; Agaricomycetes; Agaricales; Tricholomataceae
Description: eukaryotic LSU rRNA
Rfam family: 5.8S ribosomal RNA (bases 205-358)
Source: RNAcentral